AACGAACGCUGGCGGCAUGCCUAACACAUGCAAGUCGAACGAGACCUUCGGGUCUAGUGGCGCACGGGUGCGUAACGCGUGGGAACCUGCCCUUAGGUUCGGAAUAACUCCCCGAAAUGGGUGCUAAUACCGGAUAAUUUCUUCGGACCAAAGAUUUAUCGCCUUUGGAUGGGCCCGCGUUGGAUUAGCUUGUUGGUAGGGUAAAAGCCUACCAAGGCGACGAUCCAUAGCUGGUCUGAGAGGAUGAUCAGCCACACUGGGACUGAGACACGGCCCAGACUCCUACGGGAGGCAGCAGUGGGGAAUAUUGGACAAUGGGCGAAAGCAUGAUCCAGCAAUGCCGCGUGAGUGAUGAAGGCCUUAGGGUUGUAAAGCUCUUUUACCCGGGAUGAUAAUGACAGUACCGGGAGAAUAAGCGCCGGCUAACUCCGUG
Molecule: ribosomal RNA, 433 nt
Filed under: uncultured bacterium
Lineage: Bacteria
Description: partial 16S ribosomal RNA
Rfam family: Bacterial small subunit ribosomal RNA
Source: RNAcentral